RNAcentral lists this small nuclear RNA (77 nucleotides) under Erinaceus europaeus (western European hedgehog). Its description in RNAcentral is "U4 spliceosomal RNA". It matches the Rfam family "U4 spliceosomal RNA", at positions 1 to 81 of the family's 138-position model. Rfam says of the family: U4 small nuclear RNA (U4 snRNA) is a component of the major U2-dependent spliceosome. The structure of U4 snRNA from yeast and human has been reported. Lineage: Eukaryota; Metazoa; Chordata; Mammalia; Eulipotyphla; Erinaceidae. The record is from Rfam by way of RNAcentral.
AGCUUUGUGCAGUGGCAUUAUUAUAACCAGUGUGGUCUGAGGCACGAUUAUUGCUAAUUGAAAACUUUUCCUUGUCA